This 253-nucleotide ribosomal RNA is filed under the name uncultured bacterium. RNAcentral's name for it is "partial 16S ribosomal RNA". It matches the Rfam family "Bacterial small subunit ribosomal RNA", at positions 524 to 776 of the family's 1533-position model. The record is from RNAcentral.
UACGUAGGCCCCGAGCGUUAUCCGGAAUUACUGGGUGUAAAGAGUCUGUAGGUGGACUGUUAAGUCUUGUAUGAAAGACCGAAGCUCAACUUCGUGUUCGUGCAGGAAACUGGCAGUCUAGAAUGAGGGAGAGGCAAGCAGAAUUAUGAGAGUAGGGGUGCAAUCCGUAGAUACUCAUAAGAAUACCAAAAGCGAAGGCAGCUUGCUGGAACUCUAUUGACACUGAGAGACGAAAGCGUGGGGAGCGAAAAGG